UACAGAGGGUGCAAGCGUUAAUCGGAAUUACUGGGCGUAAAGCGCGCGUAGGUGGUUCGUUAAGUUGGAUGUGAAAUCCCCGGGCUCAACCUGGGAACUGCAUUCAAAACUGUCGAGCUAGAGUAUGGUAGGGGGUGGUGGAAUUUCCUGUGUAGCGGUGAAAUGCGUAGAUAUAGGAAGGAACACCAGUGGCGAAGGCGACCACCUGGACUGAUACUGACACUGAGGUGCGAAAGCGUGGGGAGCAAACAGG
Molecule: ribosomal RNA, 253 nt
Filed under: uncultured bacterium
Lineage: Bacteria
Description: partial 16S ribosomal RNA
Rfam family: Bacterial small subunit ribosomal RNA
Source: RNAcentral